Molecule: ribosomal RNA, 1456 nt
Filed under: uncultured bacterium
Lineage: Bacteria
Description: bacterial SSU rRNA
Rfam family: Bacterial small subunit ribosomal RNA
Source: RNAcentral
AGAGUUUGAUCCUGGCUCAGGAUGAACGCUAGCGGCAGGCCUAAUACAUGCAAGUCGAACGGGGGGUAACCUUAGUGGCGGACGGGUGCGUAACGCGUACGAACUUACCUAUAAAUGGGGGAUACCAGCUGGAAACGGCUGUUAAUACCGCAUGUGGCGCGUGAGCGUUAAAGCAGUAAUGCGUUUAUAGAUGGGCGUGCGUCGGAUUAGUUAGUUGGUAGGGUAAUGGCCUACCAAGACAAUGAUCCGUAACUGGUCUGAGAGGAUGAUCAGUCACACUGGCACUGAGACACGGGCCAGACUCCUACGGGAGGCAGCAGUAGGGAAUAUUGGGCAAUGGGGGCAACCCUGACCCAGCCAUGCCGCGUGGAGGAUGAAGGUGUAUAACAUUGUAAACUUCUUUUAUCUGGGACUAAUGCGCAUGUAACUCAUGUGAGUGAAGGUACCAGGGGAAUAAGCACCGGCUAACUACGUGCCAGCAGCCGCGGUAAUACGUAGGGUGCAAGCGUUGUCCGGAUUUACUGGGUCUAAAGGGUGCGUAGGCGGUUGUUUACGUCGGUGAUGAAAUGGCGGGGCUUAACCUCAGCCGCUGUUACCGAUACGGGGCGACUAGAGGAUGAAUGAGGUAGCUGGAAUGAGUGGUGUAGCGGUGAAAUGCGUAGAGAUCACUCAGAACACCGAUUGCGUAGGCAGGUUACUGGUUCAUAUCUGACGCUGAGGCACGAAGGCAUGGGGAUCAAACAGGAUUAGAUACCCUGGUAGUCCAUGCAGUAAACGAUGGAUACUCGCUAUUGGGCGCAAGUUCAGUGGCUAAGCGAAAGUGAUAAGUAUCCCACCUGGGGAGUACGCCCGCAAGGGUGAAACUCAAAGAAAUUGACGGGGGCCCGCACAAGCGGUGGAGUAUGUGGUUUAAUUCGAUGGUACGCGAGGAACCUUACCUGGACUAGAAUGCGCGUGACCGGCUCUGAGAGGGGUUUUUCUAGCAAUAGACACAAAGCAAGGUGCUGCAUGGCUGUCGUCAGCUCGUGCCGUGAGGUGUUGGGUUAAGUCCCGCAACGAGCGCAACCCCCGUUUUUAGUUGCCAGCACGUAAUGGUGGGGACUCUAAAAAGACUGCCUUCGUAAGGGGUGAGGAAGGGGGGGACGACGUCAAGUCAUCAUGGCCCUUACGUCCAGGGCUACACACGUACUACAAUGGUCGGUACAACGGGUUGCUACUGCGCGAGCAGAUGCCAAUCUCUAAAAGCCGAUCUCAGUUCGGAUUGGAGUCUGCAACUCGACUCCAUGAAGUUGGAAUCGCUAGUAAUCGCGUAUCAGCCAUGACGCGGUGAAUACGUUCCCGGGCCUUGUACACACCGCCCGUCAAGCCACGAAAGCUGGGGGUGCCUGAAGUCGGGGGAUCAAAUCCCUGCCGAGGGCAAAAUCGGUAAUUGGGGCUAAGUCGUAACAAGGUAACC